ANGGAGGUGGCUAUCGUUAUCGGNUAUGACUGGNUGUAAAUGGGUCCGUAGGCGGCCAUAUGUGUGGUAGGUGAAAGCUUUCGGCUUAACCGAAAAAUUGCCUAUCAAACUGUAUGGCUUGAGGAUGGAAGAGGUGAGCGGAACUGCCGGUGUAAGGGUGAAAUCUGUGGAUAUCGGCAGGAACGCCAGCGGAGAAGUCGGCUCUCUGGUCCAUUCCUGACGCUCAGGGNACGAAAGCUAGGGGAGCGAACAGGAUUAGAUACCCUGGUAGUCCUAGCUGUAAACGAUGGGCACUAGAUGCUCGUUCUUUUGAAUGGGUGUCGUAGCUAACGCGUUAAGUGCCCCACCUGGGGACUACGGUCGCAAGACUAAAACUCAAAGGAAUUGACGGGGGCCUGCACAAGCGGUGGAACACGUGGUUUAAUUCGAUGCUACGCGAGGAACCUUACCAGGGCUUGACAUGCUGGAAGUAGCCACCCGAAAGGAUUGGCCACCUGUAACCAAUCAGGAACCAGUGCAGGUGCUGCAUGGCUGUCGUCAGCUCGUGCCGUGAGGUGUUCCCUUAAGUGGGAAAACGAGCGCAACCCUCGUUCCUUAGUUGCCACCUUCGAGUAAUCGGAGCGCACUCUAAGGAGACUGCCCGCGUUAAGUGGGAGGAAGGUGAGGAUGACGUCAAGUCCGCAUGGCCCUUAUGCCCUGGGCUACACACGUGUUACAA
RNAcentral lists this ribosomal RNA (718 nucleotides) under uncultured bacterium. Its description in RNAcentral is "bacterial SSU rRNA". It matches the Rfam family "Bacterial small subunit ribosomal RNA", at positions 525 to 1230 of the family's 1533-position model. The record is from RNAcentral.